GGGGCGAGUCGUCCACAGGUCACCAGAAAAUAAUUAUAUCACCGUCGUCGCAGAAGGCGACGAGAAUGUGGAAAUAAAAAUAAGAAAAAGGGGAAACAACAAGAAAAGUGCGAGAGAUAAUCAGAAGACGGGAGAAUUCUGUGGAUCACCAUUCGGAUGCGCUGAUCCAUAAAAGUGUCGCCGUGAUCCAGACGAUUUCGGAAACCCUCCGCGACCGGGAGGUGGCGGUCGCGAAUCAGGAGAGAGAGGUAACAAAGCGAGAGACCCUUCUUCUACGGGCCGUCAUUGGUGAAGACCUCCAGGAGGAGUCGGCGGCAGAGGAGGCGGAGGAGGAGGUGGGCGCGAGAGUGGACCAGGGGAGGGAAGUCGCCGCGGAGGGGCGAGUCGUCCACAGGUCACCAGAAAAUAAUUAUAUCACCGUCGUCGCAGAAGGCGACGAGAAUGUGGAAAUAAAAAUAAGAAAAAGGGGAAACAACAAGAAAAGUGCGAGAGAUAAUCAGAAGACGGGAGAAUUCUGUGGAUCACCAUUCGGAUGCGCUGAUCCAUAAAAGUGUCGCCGUGAUCCAGACAAUUUCGGAAACCCUCCGCGACCGGGAGGUGGCGGUCGCGAAUCAGGAGAGAGAGGUAACAAAGCGAGAGACCCUUCUUCUACGGGCCGUCAUUGGUGAAGACCUCCAGGAGGAGUCGGCGGCAGAGGAGGCGGAGGAGGAGGUGGGCGCGAGAGUGGACCAGGGGAGGGAAGUCGCCGCGGAGGGGCGAGUCGUCCACAGGUCACCAGAAAAUAAUUAUAUCACCGUCGUCGCAGAAGGCGACGAGAAUGUGGAAAUAAAAAUAAGAAAAAGG
This 843-nucleotide long non-coding RNA is filed under the name Neodiprion pinetum (white pine sawfly). Its description in RNAcentral is "uncharacterized LOC124221908". The record is from RNAcentral. Lineage: Eukaryota; Metazoa; Arthropoda; Insecta; Hymenoptera; Diprionidae.